AUUAGGGCUUAUAUAUUAGACUUAUUUCCAUGAUGUAACGGAGACACCACCCCUUGGGGGCUGAAUCAAGAUUACAUAUGCUCUUUUCUUCUCUUUCUUUUUAGAUUAGAUUAGAACCCUAGAUUAGAUUAGAGUUGAAGUUUGAAGCAAUUGGAGAGCAUAGGAAAUUUGAAUUGGAGCAAGAGAUAUCAGAUUUGCAUUCCCAAAUCCCUAACUUCUCUUUACUUCUAUCUUUAUUUCUCAAUGUAUAAUCAAUUGUGGAUUGUGGGGUUUGAUUCUAUGAUGAACUAAACUCUAUAUUGAGAUUACACUGGAUUCUAUUGAUUAGUUUAAUCUGAUAUACUUCAUUGUUAACCUUAUUAAUUGUUAUGUGAUUGUCUUUUAAGAUUUAUGGUUAUUUGCUUAGUUGAUUGGCCAUCAAUUACUGUGAUAACCCAUAUGAACUUGAAAGACGGAGUAUGGGUUUAGAUUUGAUUUUGAU
This 481-nucleotide long non-coding RNA is filed under the name Panax ginseng (ginseng). RNAcentral describes it as "long non-coding RNA (PGIN_LNC010729)". The record is from RNAcentral. Lineage: Eukaryota; Viridiplantae; Streptophyta; Magnoliopsida; Apiales; Araliaceae.